Molecule: non-coding RNA, 2771 nt
Filed under: synthetic construct
Source: RNAcentral
ACUGGUACUGUGAUACAAAAGGUUUGUCAGCACGAAGCUGUUCUUGACAUAGGAGGUCUUAUCUGGAAAUGGGUGACAGACAAACAAUUUUAGCAGUCUCUCAGGCAAUCCUGUAGAUGUAAAUUUGUAGGUGUGUGGCAGGCGAAUGCAGCGACCCUGGCUGUAGAUACCCGUGUCAAAUAAAAACUCUGUUGAAGAGAUUGAGGGGAAUAGUUCACACACUCUUUUGUUCAGUCUGAUAGUUCUGUUUAUCACUCUUGCUAGAGUUAUUAGUGGUGUUGCUCCAACUAUAGCAUGUCUCAUUGGUAAUGGUGUAAUUAUUCGGAGUCCAAUCUUUUUGCUGCAGGUACAAAAUGGUCGUGGUUCCAUAUAUAUAUCAGAGUUACACUCUGACUUGAAGAAAUAGACGGGAUGAGACGGGGGCAUCUCCAGGUUUAGGAUUGUGCUGAGGACAGUAAUUAUGUCCUGGCGAAUCUGCAGACACAGAUUGUAUAUGUCUUCAAUUUUAUAUCCUGGAACUUCAACUGGGAGAUCAAAAUCCAGAAUGACAUUAUAGAUUGGCAGAUGAGGGUUGAAGUAUUCGUGCCUGGAAACCAUGAGAUUGUCCUCAACCGUGUUGCUCGUGCAACCAUUAACACAGUAGGUCAAAAGUUCAGUGAUUCUCACGUCUGUUAAUUCAUCUAAAUUAAUUGAGUGGGGGAAAAUGACGUGCUUCUUCCAGUAGUCUUCUAUAGAAUCUGUUGCCACCAUCACAAAAUAAGUCUUGUUUUUAAAUUCACUUCUGUACGUGGGACAAAUUGGCUUUUCUGGGAACAGAAUGUCCUUUGGGUUAUCAAGUUCUUGUGGAGAUAAGGAUGCUAGUUUCAAUAACUCUUUCAGGCUGGACUCUGAGCUAUAAAAAGGAAAAUCCUCGUUGAUGGAAUCAAACAAGGCUGUCAGGUCCGAUGUCUGUCCAAACCAGGCCUGGAGAGUACCUGGGGUAUCUCCAUACGACCCUAAGCUGGCUCCAGGUACACGGACAACCUUUGUCAAUAGAUGGGUGUGAAUAUAUUUUUCCUUGUUAUAGUAGCUGGACAUUUUAUCCAAAAAUUCAUCACAGAGUUUCAGAUGAAGAAUUUCAGAACUGUAGGUGUUGAUAUUGUCCGGUGAGGUCUUUCCAAUAAAUUCCAGGAAGGCAGUUUUGUUAAAACAUGCAUAAAAUGCCAGGUACACAAAUUGUACAAUGUCCUUGUUAGACAGCAGUAGACCCCCCCUAAUUUCAUUAAUCAUCUGGUCAAUCUUUUCAUUUUCUAGAGUGUCUAUGUUGAGUUUAGUUUCUACAUAUUCUGCAAACAAAGGCACACUGUCCAGGAUAGAGCUUGAGGAAAAGAACAGCCCAAGUUCCUGAAGACUGGACACAUCAAUGAGAGAGUGUCCAAGCUCCCCGCAGAAAAGUCUAGCCAAGUGCAUGAGGGUCUCAACGGUACAAGCAUGUUUAUAAAAGUAAUAAGAGGCGAUGACCAGGGUAAAGGUCAAGUCAUCCUGUCCAAAGGUUGUAAUGAACCAUUGUGUGGAAGAUGUUGUCUUUAACAGUUUUCUCAAAAAAUUGAUUAAUUUUGACUGGUACCAUCUAACCAUUUCCAGAAAAGUGCCCUCUUUCUCCCCUCUGUUAUCUAGACUCAUUAUCAAUUUUAAAAUUGGCAAUAUUUGAGCUUUGAGGUGAGAAUAAUCUAGGCAAGAUGCUACCUGCCCGCUGGUUAGAGGCCUGCCAUUAAACAAAAACUGUUUGGCAUCAUCGCAGGAAAUGUCAACUUUAAACAGUUCAAAGUAUUUUUUUUCCUUAUUGGGCCUGUUUAGAGGUAGGCACAUAGAGAUGCUGCUGAUGUUUUUUAGACCAGAAAUACUAAAGCAGUCAUGAAUCAAAGAGGUGAAUUUAUAUUCAGUUGCGCCCUCGUGUGUGAUUAAAUUCACAACAGCGUCUAUAACAUCAAUAUCUGUAGAAAAUAUACACCUGACAGUAUCUGGCGAUACAAGGCAUGAAUUGCUGUGGUAUCUGGCCAUUUGGGAAACCCGGUGUACCUUACAAGAGGCUCGCUGAUGUAGAAACAGAUGAGAGAAUGGAGAUGGAGAUCAGGCUGGGUAUGCCCCCGGGGGUGUUGGCGGCCGACCUGAUUAGGAGCACCAAGGAUAAGCAGGUCCUGGAGCAACUCUAUCUUCUGGCCGUGCAGGCAAAUAAUUUAACAGAGCACAUCAAGAGAUUUACCUUGGGUGAGAUACCAGAAGAAUGUAAAAAUGUUACCAGAUCUCAAUUGGAAAAAUUAAAGUCUGUCCAACACAUAAUUUGGAACACAAUGAUAUCAUUGGCUGCUGGGGCAAUAAGUGUAGAUGAGGCCACACUUCCAGCCCUGCUGGACAAGAGGGCAGAGGAAACGGUGGCUCUUCUCGAGAUGGAGAAAAUAGCCACAGCAGUCAAACUGGAUGAGACGGCCGCAUGGGCCACUGACAUUGCUGGUAUUGUAUCUAGCCAACCUUUGGCCACGCCCCCAAGUGAGUCACCCGACCAAAUAGCACUGAAAAAAGCCACACAACUUUCAAAUGCUGUUUAUUGAAACUGGUCACACACAUCAUUUUGUGUGCAGUUUUAUUAAUUCACCCCACUUGACCCAAACCCCCGCCCCUCCCUAGAAGGCUUUCCUGGCCUCUGUUUGCUGUAUCGCCUAUUCUUUUCUUCAGCAAUUUCAGACUUGUCUGCAGCUUCGUGCGGAACCCUAAUAAACUGUACAACAGCUAAA